Molecule: ribosomal RNA, 468 nt
Filed under: uncultured bacterium
Lineage: Bacteria
Description: partial 16S ribosomal RNA
Rfam family: Bacterial small subunit ribosomal RNA
Source: RNAcentral
GACGAACGCUGGCGGCGUGCUUAACACAUGCAAGUCGAACGGAAAGGCCCUGCUUUUGUGGGGUGCUCGAGUGGCGAACGGGUGAGUAACACGUGAGUAACCUGCACUUGACUUUGGGAUAACUUCAGGAAACUGGGGCUAAUACCGGAUAGGAGCUCCUGCUGCAUGGUGGGGGUUGGAAAGAUUCGGCGGUUGGGGAUGGACUCGCGGCUUAUCAGCUUGUUGGUGGGGUAGUGGCUUACCAAGGCUUUGACGGGUAGCCGGCCUGAGAGGGUGACCGGCCACAUUGGGACUGAGAUACGGCCCAGUCUCCUACGGGAGGCAGCAGUGGGGAAUAUUGCACAAUGGGCGGAAGCCUGAUGCAGCAACGCCGCGUGCGUGAUGACGGCCUUCGGGUUGUAAACCGCUUUCGCCUGUGACGAAGCGUGAGUGACGGUAAUGGGUAAGGAAGCACCGGCUAACUACGUG